This 331-nucleotide long non-coding RNA is filed under the name Elaeis guineensis (African oil palm). RNAcentral describes it as "long non-coding RNA (EGUI_LNC077223)". Lineage: Eukaryota; Viridiplantae; Streptophyta; Magnoliopsida; Arecales; Arecaceae. The record is from RNAcentral.
UAAUUUAAUCAAAUUAAUUUAGAUUUAAAUCUGAUUUAAUUUUUUAAUCGAAUUAAAAAUUAGGUUGAUCCAAGUCCUAAUUGAAUUAGGACUAGUUUUUUCUUGCACUUGGCUUAUCCAAUUAAACCAAUUGGACUUGAUUAAAUCAAGUCCAAACCAAAUCUAAUUAAAUCAUAUUCAAUUAGACUUAAUUUUAACCCAUUGACUUAAUUAAAUUAAGCCAAUUAAUAAUCGAAUUGCUAAUCGAUCCUCCUGCAAUCCUUACACUAGGUUAAAUGUCAAUCGUAUUGAUCAUUUAACCCUAGAACGAUUCUUAAUCAUUGAUCAACCA